This 323-nucleotide ribosomal RNA is filed under the name Stenotrophomonas maltophilia. RNAcentral's name for it is "bacterial SSU rRNA". It matches the Rfam family "Bacterial small subunit ribosomal RNA", at positions 63 to 382 of the family's 1533-position model. Lineage: Bacteria; Pseudomonadati; Pseudomonadota; Gammaproteobacteria; Lysobacterales; Lysobacteraceae. The record is from RNAcentral.
CGAACGGCAGCACAGAGGAGCUUGCUCCUUGGGUGGCGAGUGGCGGACGGGUGAGGAAUACAUCGGAAUCUACUCUGUCGUGGGGGAUAACGUAGGGAAACUUACGCUAAUACCGCAUACGACCUACGGGUGAAAGCAGGGGAUCUUCGGACCUUGCGCGAUUGAAUGAGCCGAUGUCGGAUUAGCUAGUUGGCGNGGUAAAGGCCCACCAAGGCGACGAUCCGUAGCUGGUCUGAGAGGAUGAUCAGCCACACUGGAACUGAGACACGGUCCAGACUCCUACGGGAGGCAGCAGUGGGGAAUAUUGGACAAUGGGCGCAAGC